RNAcentral lists this ribosomal RNA (253 nucleotides) under uncultured bacterium. RNAcentral describes it as "partial 16S ribosomal RNA". It matches the Rfam family "Bacterial small subunit ribosomal RNA", at positions 524 to 776 of the family's 1533-position model. The record is from RNAcentral.
UACGUAGGGGGCAAGCGUUGUCCGGAUUUAUUGGGCGUAAAGCGCGUGUAGGCGGCCAGAAAAGUCCGCUGUGAAAGUCGGGGGCUCAACCCUCGGAUGCCGGUGGAUACUGUCGGGCUUGAGUACGGAAGAGGCGAGUGGAAUUCCUGGUGUAGCGGUGAAAUGCGCAGAUAUCAGGAGGAACACCAAUUGCGAAGGCAGCUCGCUGGGACGUUACUGACGCUGAGACGCGAAAGCGUGGGGAGCAAACAGG